This 444-nucleotide ribosomal RNA is filed under the name uncultured bacterium. RNAcentral's name for it is "bacterial SSU rRNA". It matches the Rfam family "Bacterial small subunit ribosomal RNA", at positions 215 to 656 of the family's 1533-position model. The record is from RNAcentral.
CCACUGGAUGAGGGGCCUGCGUAGCAUCAGCUAGUUGGUGGGGUAAUGGCCUACCAAGGCGAAGACGCUUAGCUGGUCUGAGAGGAUGAUCAGCCACACUGGGACUGAGACACGGCCCAGACUCCUACGGGAGGCAGCAGUGGGGAAUAUUGGACAAUGGGCGCAAGCCUGAUCCAGCCACGCCGCGUGAGUGAUGAAGGCCUUCGGGUCGUAAAGCUCUGUGGGGAGGGACGAACGGCGCCAUGAAGAGUGGCGAUUGACGGUACCUCCUUAGCAAGCACCGGCUAACUUCGUGCCAGCAGCCGCGGUAAUACGAAGGGUGCAAACGUUGCUCGGAAUCAUUGGGCGUAAAGCGCACGUAGGCGGCUUUCUAAGUCGGAUGUGAAAUCCCUCGGCUUAACCGAGGACGUGCAUCCGAAACUGGGAGGCUUGAGUAUGGAAGAG